GUGGGAUUGAGGCGGACGCCCUGCAGAGCCCAGACAGGACCCCGGGGUUGGAGCAUCCAUUGUCUGCCAUGGGUUCAGAGAAGGAAAGUGAUCUGUCCACGGUCACACAGCUUGGACAUGAAGACAGCAGGAUAGGAAUGCAGGGCUCUUGUCUGCCCUACACGGCCCCCUUCCUCUACGUUGGAUGAGGUGACCCACGUGACCCAGGAAUGUGAGAUCAGAACCGGUCCCAGGAAUGAGCCAGAAAACCGAGCCGUGCCGCCCUCUUUACCAACGGAGCUGGGACUCCACAAGAUGUGCCCCCCACCCCGUGUCCACGGACGUGCCUGCUUUCCGGUGGCUGUCGGGAUAGAGGCACACGCCCUGGACCACGCCAGUGCGGCUGUUUGAUGGCAUUCCCAGCCCAGCGGGGAGAAGGAAUUAGCACAAACCUCCAGAGAGAGCCUGUUCUCAUGAAAUCCACAGCCCGGCAGGGCGGCUGAGAGCGGGAGAGCAGCUCAGUCUGGUUUCACAUUCUCUUAUCUGCUGGCUUGUUGGCCCCGUCCGCAGCGUCCUCGGCCCCACGAGAGAAGGUCUGGCACAAGAUGGGGACAGUAAUCCCGGACUGGGAAAAGUUGAAUCCCACGUCUCUACCUAGAGCCCAUCAUCAUAGCCUCCUGCCCCUGUUUGGGGGGGGGGGGGGGGUCACAACCAGGCUCUUCGCGAGAGGAUCACAGCUGCCGGGGGUCCCCUUCCCCUCGGAGCUGUCUUCUACAACCUGGAAAACCUUCUCUCGAUGCCCUUGGUUUGGGGCGGUUUCCUGGCGUUACCAAGCACCCCGAAUCUAAGCGGUGGGAACUUUCCCUUGGCACAGGGCAAUCCCAGGAGCUCAUGGCCAACCUCUCCCGUGGCGUCUGUCCAUCGCCACGUCCAUCACGGGGCCGUCAUCCACCAGGGAGCGUGUCCCCGGCUCUGCGACGAGGCUUCCUCCACACAGAUCCGGACCCGGGAACCUCUGUACGCAGAGUGGGAAGACGGCCCGGCCGAAGAGGGACCCACGUGAGCGGACGUGCUCCCUCGCAGACGCUUGCCCCGUCCUGUGGAUUUACAGUUUUGAAGAGUAAAACAUGAACAUUAACUUAGUUCCAAAAAUCAAAACGAUUCAAAAAAUGUACACUUGGACGGUUCACUCCAUCCCUAAUCCCUCCCUCAUUCCCACACCCUGCAGGGACUCAGUCUCCUGAAUGAUUUCUGGUCUUCCCUUCCUAUAUUGGGGAGGGAUAAUACAUAUAUAAUAAUGUGCAUACGUGCGUGCGUACACGGACAUACAUGUGCCUGUGUGCAUAUAUGUGUAUCAGAACCGCACAGAUGCGGGGCACCUGGGGGGCUCAGCGGGUCAAUCGUCUGCCUUCAGCUCCGGCCCUGGUCCCGGGCUCCCUGCUCAGCAGGAGGCCUGCUUCUCCCUCUCUCACUCCCCUGCUUGUGCUCUGUCUCCCGCUCUCUCUCCAUCUGAUAAAUAAAUAAAUAAAAUCUUUUAAAAAUAUA
Mustela lutreola (European mink) is the source of this 1524-nucleotide long non-coding RNA. RefSeq lists it as uncharacterized. The transcript is spliced from 2 exons. NCBI's taxonomy places the organism in Eukaryota, Metazoa, Chordata, Mammalia, Carnivora, Mustelidae. The record is from RefSeq and is a predicted model, not a curated record.